This 487-nucleotide long non-coding RNA is filed under the name Capsicum annuum. Its description in RNAcentral is "long non-coding RNA (CANN_LNC017097)". The record is from RNAcentral. Lineage: Eukaryota; Viridiplantae; Streptophyta; Magnoliopsida; Solanales; Solanaceae.
UUCAAAUGGCAGAUGGGCAUAUACCUAAUUACACAUAAAAAACUACUAAAUUCCUCCAAAAUUCUACCUCUAUACUGAUAUCCUCAAGUCUAAUUUCAACAUAGGAUGACUCGCCUUGGAUAGAUGGAGCUACAUAUUUCAUCUUGAACCCAACGUUUACCACUUUGCCAACUUCAAACAAAUCCCAUAGAUCUCUUCUUCUAUGGUAGUUCCGACAUCUCAUCUACUUUCUCUGCCCAAGCAAGCUUACUGGUGCUGGGAGAGUUCAAUUUGAGGUAUAAUCUGCUAAAAUCCCUUCCCAAUUUUUCUGGAAUUAUUUUUUAAACUAUAUUAGUGUUUCCUUCCAUUGAUUUUCCUUUCAUACAUAUGGUAUCCAAUGUUGAAGUCAUACUUGUCACUUUCCUUUUCAGAACUGACUGCAGAGCUUGACCUCUUUUUAUGGUUGUUGGGUUUACUGUUUCAUUGACUUGUGAUUUGGUUAGAGUAG